This 253-nucleotide ribosomal RNA is filed under the name uncultured bacterium. RNAcentral describes it as "partial 16S ribosomal RNA". It matches the Rfam family "Bacterial small subunit ribosomal RNA", at positions 524 to 776 of the family's 1533-position model. The record is from RNAcentral.
UACGGGGGGGGCAAGCGUUGUUCGGAAUUACUGGGCGUAAAGGGCUCGUAGGCGGCCAACUAAGUCAGACGUGAAAUCCCUCGGCUUAACCGGGGAACUGCAUCUGAUACUGGAUGGCUUGAGUUCGGGAGAGGGAUGCGGAAUUCCAGGUGUAGCGGUGAAAUGCGUAGAUAUCUGGAGGGACACCGGUGGCGAAGGCGGCAUCCUGGACUGGUACUGACGCUCAGGAGCGAAAGCGUGGGGAGCGAUCCGG